This 61-nucleotide small RNA is filed under the name Pseudomonas fluorescens. Its description in RNAcentral is "Pseudomonas sRNA P36". It matches the Rfam family "Pseudomonas sRNA P36". Lineage: Bacteria; Pseudomonadati; Pseudomonadota; Gammaproteobacteria; Pseudomonadales; Pseudomonadaceae. The record is from RNAcentral.
AAAACUGUUACCGCUGAAUUUUCACGUAACAAAAGCCGGGGCUUACGGUAACGAAGCCCCG